Molecule: small nucleolar RNA, 244 nt
Filed under: Aureobasidium pullulans EXF-150
Lineage: Eukaryota; Fungi; Ascomycota; Dothideomycetes; Dothideales; Saccotheciaceae
Description: Small nucleolar RNA snR191
Rfam family: Small nucleolar RNA snR191
Source: Rfam by way of RNAcentral
UGCCAGCGUUAAGUCAAGGCUCCUUCCGCAUCUCGUGUGCUUUUUCUCCCCAUGGAAGGAGACUGUUACAACUCUGGCAGAUCGAACUCGGCCCGCCGCUAGACCCCGUUAUGGACGUCUAGUAGAUCGCUUGCCGUUUUGGCUUGCUUUCAAAAGGGUUCGAACGUGUUUCGUUUGAGUUGAGUACCUCUCCCGCUCCAACGAGUGGCUCAUGGAGGCUCUCUUAGUUAUGAUUCACACAUCU